UACCAGCACCCCGAGUGGUCGGGACGUUUAUUGGGCCUAAAGCAUCCGUAGCCGGUUCUACAAGUCUUCCGUUAAAUCCAACUGCUUAACAGGUGGGCUGCGGAAGAUACUAUAGAGCUAGGAGGCGGGAGAGGCAAGCGGUACUCGAUGGGUAGGGGUAAAAUCCGUUGAUCCAUUGAAGACCACCAGUGACGAAGGCGGCUUGCCAGAACGCGCUCGACGGUGAGGGAUGAAAGCUGGGGGAGCAAACCGG
This 253-nucleotide ribosomal RNA is filed under the name uncultured bacterium. RNAcentral's name for it is "partial 16S ribosomal RNA". It matches the Rfam family "Archaeal small subunit ribosomal RNA", at positions 474 to 727 of the family's 1478-position model. The record is from RNAcentral.